Molecule: long non-coding RNA, 3570 nt
Organism: Betta splendens (Siamese fighting fish)
Lineage: Eukaryota; Metazoa; Chordata; Actinopteri; Anabantiformes; Osphronemidae
Exons: 2
Source: RefSeq, a predicted model, not a curated record
CACGGACUUCCGCGUUAAGAUGGAGUGGAGGAGGAGGGAAAAAAAACAGGAGAAUUAACGAAUUUAAAGGACAGGCGGCGCACGCGGGCGCGCCGAGGGCUGCGCACUACUAAAGAGACGAGGAUGAGGAGGCGGUAAACAAGCAGCAUUUACUCAUGAGUCCUACCUGCUGCUGGUGACCUGGACCAGGACCGACUUUAAUCAGAAGCUGCACGGCACCACUUCACUUACGGCUGCGGCACCUGAUUGCCUGAUUGAACACACCUGAUCCAGGCUAUUAGUGGUGAGAGGAGGGGGGGGGGGGCUUACUGAGUGCACACGCACUUGAAAAUGACGAUGACACACCAAAUGGUCUAUAAGUGUUUUGCUGUGUGAUACUUUAUGGCUCUGUACAGUAGAUUUUCUCUCAUGAGACUAAACUACCGAAUGGGCUCCACUCUGCUGUGUUCACACAGUCUGGUUCUCCAGACCUCACUUCCUGCCCAGUGUACUGUAGCGACAAACUGUAGUGUCACUUAUCAAAUGAGGCGCCGUGGCCUCUGACCACUCAAAGCCUCGGCUCUGUCUGUGUGAGACCUGUCAUUGUGUUUGGGCCUAUUACCGAUGCACAGUGGGCCGCUCCGUCCUUGGGGUGGGACAACGGCGCCUCUAUGUUCUGUGUGGACGGGCCGGGCACCUCAGAAGUGACUGCCAAACGGCCAUCCAGAGCCUCUGAGCCCGAGGGACGUGUUAAAUGUGCAAAGUCUAAGAGGAACACAGCUGUCAUAACAAUAGCAGAGCCGCCUUUUCACUGGAUUUACUGCAAAAUGACUUUUUAAGAGGGACAUGUUGACUCAAGCCCACGCACCAAAACCCCCGGAUUCAUUGGAACAGAUUAGAUCAGGGUGUGUUCCUUGACCCACGGAGCAGUGGAUACUGUAAGUGGAGCCACUUCCCAUUGUUUGCGCAGACAGUUCGCAAAAAGGAGGAAGCAGAUACAGGGAGAGAGAAAAGCAGGUGGGAGGAGAUAAAGGGGGGCGUAAGGAGACGGAGGGAGGAGAGUUGGUCCCUGGAGGUCUGAGGGAUCGUUAGAGGAGGACACGGCAGCGAACAGGGCGUCUUGUGCACCGUCAGACACGUUGAACUCGUUAGUCCGGUUCGGCUUCAUUGUCGUGUGUUGUGUGGCGGCUCUAAGAACAUGUGAGUCAGCGUGUUCUUAUUAGACAUGGGCACAGCACCUGUACGACCUCACAACGAGCCAGAUGGAGGAAACAGACAGAUGUGGGUGUAAGUUUGUAAAUGCGUCCCAUGGAAACGCUUUAUUGCGCCGCGCGUUGACGCAUAUUCAGCUGGAUUCUGUGGUUUUGUGCGGCGUUCCUGUUGCCUGGUUUCACUAUAAUCACUGUUCCUCAUUGUGGAACAUGCAAACUUCACAGUUAGCUUCUCUUCCCGAAGGUGGUUUAGUGAUUGAGAACAACCGCAAACACUGGUAACAAGACAAAACAAUCAGAUUUAGAUUGAAAAAGCACAGUAAUUAUAUUUGUACAUGCAAACAGGAAAUCAUAGUAAUAUAAUAUUUUAAGAUGAUACUCAUGUUUCCUUUCCACAACUGUACGCGCCGGGACUGACUUCCUACCACAAAAGCCAUGUUUAUUAACAGAAAGAGCAGCCAUUGUUGUUCCCUGUGUGCAAAAUAUAGACUCGCCAAACUUGGCUUGGUUUCACGAGGCAGUGGGAACAAUCCAGAAACAGAAAAUAUGCAUUUGGUUGCUGUGUGUGCGUGUGCACAUGCGUGUGUGUGUGUGUGUGUGUGUGGAACCGAGGACGAUUGCUCCACCAGAGAAACAGAGGGAAGCGAUUCAAAUGCUCAGACAAAAAAGCCUGUACAUGUCCCUGAAAGUAUGCUGAGAAUGAGCAGGAUGAGAGGGACGUCCAGUGAUGAAGCAAGGUCAAGCCAACACCCACUGGAGUCUUCACCACUCAUAACGUCAGCCGGCUGGCAGAUGUUUGCAGGUUCAGGGUUUAUUUCCAUUUAGAGCUCACUGAGGUCAUGACGCUCAGCUUUGGGCCGUUCAGUGAAUUCAUCUGUAUUGUAUCAAGUUUAAAUAUUGUUCAUUGUUGUUCCAGGAGCUUUGGUGAACUCCAUCCUUUUUAAAAAAAAGCCCCUCUCUACGUCUCAGACAGACUAAGCAGUAUUCCAGCAGUAUAUGCAGCUCUGUCCAAUUAUCUGGGAUCAAAGCCAGACAACAUGAAGGAGAAAAGUAAGGAUAAAAACAGCGAGACGUGACUGGGGUCAGGGAUUGUCUGCUGCACACGACGCCAUCCAGAGUAAAUAAUAAGCGGUGCCCCCGACUUUUAUUCCAACCUUCAACUCAGUGACUCACCAUCGAAGCAUGACAUUUAUGUGAUUACAUAAAGUGCUCUCAUAGUUGCCAGUUGUAAAAUUAUCUGCUCUCCACUUCUGUGGGUUAGUUUGUAUUUGUGCAUGUGUGCACAAACAGAGGAAUUUAAGUGCUCUCCCCUUAUGAAGUGCGCAUGUGGAAACAAGUGAGGAAAGGCCCAGAGGGAUCAAUUCAAAACCAGAAUGUUUUGUGUGAUGAAAUCCUGUUGGAAAUAACAAAAAGUGAUUGACAAUCAGUCACUACUGUUUGUAAUAUACUCACACACCUAGUGCAAAUUAACAGCUGAUGUGUGAGGCAACAUACUACGUUUAAUUAUAGGUGUUAACUUGCUGUAGCAAACACAAGCACUGCUUGAAAUUAAGGACGUGGUUUAGUAGGAAGAUCAGAGGUUUAUCAUGGACCAAGUGCUAAUGAAGAAAAACAUCAACUAUAUUUUCAUAAUCUCAGUGUGAGCUGAAAGGAUGAUGGUGGGGAAGUCUAAUGCUCAACAGGUUGGGGGGGGGAAAGUCCUCGUUGCUUAGGAACAGCAAAUGAGAUGAGAACUAUUACGACGAGUGACAGUAAAGGUCAAACAUUCAAUGUGCAAAUAAUGAGGAACCGGAAGAGCAAAACUGCAGUACAGCGCAAGGAAAUGAGAGGAAAUUAGAAGUGGACUAACUGUAAGAGAGUUCAACAUGUCCUGAUGAAUUUAAAAACCAGUCAUCUGGAAAUAGAAAGUGAUUGUAGAGUGUGAUGGGAUACGCAUGAAUCAGUGUGUACAGAGGGAAAAAAACUUUAUUAGACCAAAUGCAUUUAGAGACUAUAUCAGCAUUUAAAGAUGUUGCAACAGCUGAGCAAUAAAAAAAACACUUAAAAAAAAGAAAGACUUUUUUUUAUGGCAACCACCGCACUUUAGACACGUCAUAAAUACCGUACCCCCGCCCGACCCCCACCCGUCCAGAUACAAUUUAAUCUAUAUGCAGAUAAACAAUUACAGCUGACAUUCACACCAACACACACUGCAUAUUUGCUAUUUCAAAGCCAACUUUGAAUUUAAAUAAGUACUAUUCAUUAAUAAAUAUUAAGUAUUCCAUCAGUAGGCGGGUAUAUUGUCAUAUAGGAAAAGAAAGAUUAGUAAUGUCGGUAGGUAUGUGCUUGUGUAGGAAAUACAAGUAAAAAUGUGAAAUAUAAAAAAAUGUUGAAGAUACAA